RNAcentral lists this long non-coding RNA (798 nucleotides) under Rattus norvegicus (Norway rat). RNAcentral's name for it is "long non-coding RNA NONRATT033730". Lineage: Eukaryota; Metazoa; Chordata; Mammalia; Rodentia; Muridae. The record is from RNAcentral.
ACCCGGUCCACAGGUUCCCUCUGUCCUCGGGCACUCUGAAAGGUUUCCGAGUCAAUCACGGAGCUCAGGAUCCAAGAACUACCUCUUGAUAUGGGCGAACCCUUUGGAAUUCUGUGUGGAAGGGUGAAUGCCCAAUCAAGCGCCGGAACUCCCUGCCUGAGCACCAAAGGAAGGCUGUACAGAGAGCCCAUGCCAUUCGCCACCUCAGACUUAGAGAUGAGUACCAGCUUUGGAAAGGCAAACAGUCAUCGAUGGAGCUAACAUUUGCUGAGCAAUCGGCCCAUGUUCAGCCUCAACAUCUAGGAAUGAAUGAUGUCAUUAUCACACGGCCAGGACUCUCAAGAAGUCCAUGGAGAGAAACCAAGACGAGGGACCCCCAACUGGUAUCAAACAGCAUGGAAGUGGACAUCCGAGUCUCCGAAAAAAACUUCAGCCAACAGCAGCCUCCUGAAAGCCCGUAGGCAAAAUUACCCCAAUCCUGACCUUAAUACAGAUGGUGAGAGAUGCUAGGGUUGGUCACUAGCUUGGAGAGCAAUUUGCUAAUUCCCAGUAGAGAAGUGCUGUUGGGAGCUAUAGGAACGGGACCUAGGAUUGGGGAGUAGGGAGUAACAACAGAGUCACGUGAUGAAUCCCGGGACUCGGACUCCAGAGACCAGCAUCAGGGUCCAGAUCUGAGUUUAUUGGGCAGUGCAUAAGCUUAUAGACCGGGUUCCAGCCAAGCCCAAGCCCAAGCCCAAGGCCAAGCCCCUAAAUCCUCGGCCAAUCAUAUCUCGCCACAUUGUCACCAUGCCCCAGGAC